Molecule: unclassified non-coding RNA, 365 nt
Filed under: soil metagenome
Description: partial contains 5.8S ribosomal RNA, internal transcribed spacer 2, and large subunit ribosomal RNA
Rfam family: 5.8S ribosomal RNA (bases 1-120)
Source: RNAcentral
GAUGAAGAACGCAGCGAAAUGCGAUAAGUAAUGUGAAUUGCAGAAUUCAGUGAAUCAUCGAAUCUUUGAACGCACAUUGCGCCCGCCAGCAUUCUGGCGGGCAUGCCUGUUCGAGCGUCAUUUCAACCCUCGCAGCCCAUCUGGGCAGCGGUGUUGGAGACCGGCACCACCGGCGAAGCCCUUAGGGGCCCAGCCGGCGCCGCCCCCGAAAUACAGUGGCGGUCUCGCUGCAGCCUCCCUCGCGUAGUAGCACACCUCGCACCGGAGCGCAGCGCGGCCACGCCGUAAAACCCCCGACUUUCUGAGUUUGACCUCGAAUCAGGUAGGAAUACCCGCUGAACUUAAGCAUAUCAAUAAGCGGAGGA